Salvelinus sp. IW2-2015 is the source of this 192-nucleotide long non-coding RNA. RefSeq lists it as uncharacterized. Lineage: Eukaryota; Metazoa; Chordata; Actinopteri; Salmoniformes; Salmonidae. The record is from RefSeq and is a predicted model, not a curated record. The transcript has 2 exons.
CUCACGCCUGGAAGAGGGCAGAGGGGACGAGUUACUUGAUUUGCCAGCCAACAUGGUCAAGCAAGCAGCUGCAACUGUAGGAGCUACAGCUGGCAUAAAGAACCCAAGACAUAGAAAGAAUGUGGAAGCUUGAGCAUACAGUCAUGCUUGCAGAAGAAAAGAGGAUGCUUAUUGGUUUACCGGCUUCGAAAG